RNAcentral lists this ribosomal RNA (498 nucleotides) under uncultured bacterium. RNAcentral describes it as "partial 16S ribosomal RNA". It matches the Rfam family "Bacterial small subunit ribosomal RNA", at positions 30 to 523 of the family's 1533-position model. The record is from RNAcentral.
AUUGGACGCUGGCGGCAUGCUUUACACAUGCAAGUCGAACGGUAACAGGCCGCAAGGUGCUGACGAGUGGCGAACGGGUGAGUAAUGCAUCGGAACGUGCCCAGUCGUGGGGGAUAACGCAGCGAAAGCUGUGCUAAUACCGCAUACGAUCUAUGGAUGAAAGCGGGGGACCGUAAGGCCUCGCGCGAUUGGAGCGGCCGAUGUCAGAUUAGGUAGUUGGUGGGGUAAAGGCUCACCAAGCCAACGAUCUGUAGCUGGUCUGAGAGGACGACCAGCCACACUGGGACUGAGACACGGCCCAGACUCCUACGGGAGGCAGCAGUGGGGAAUUUUGGACAAUGGGCGCAAGCCUGAUUCAGCAAUGCCGCGUGCAGGAAGAAGGCCUUCGGGUUGUAAACUGCUUUUGUACGGAGCGAAAAGGUUUGGGUUAAUACCCUGGGCCGAUGACGGUACCGUAAGAAUAAGCACCGGCUAACUACGUGCCAGCAGCCGCAGUAA